AACGAACGCUGGCGGCAGGCCUAAUACAUGCAAGUCGAACGAAGUAGCAAUACUUAGUGGCAGACGGGUGAGUAACAUGUGGGUAUCUACCCUUUGGCCUGGAAUAACACGAGGAAACUUGUGCUAAUACCGGAUAAGUCUUUACGGAGAAAGCUUUAUGCACCAUUGGAUGAGCCCGCACUUGAUUAGUUUGUUGGUAGGGUAAUGGCCUACCAAGACUAUGAUCAAUAGCUGAUUUGAGAGGAUGAUCAGCCACAUUGGGACUGAGACACGGCCCAAACUCCUACGGGAGGCAGCAGUGGGGAAUCUUGCACAAUGGAGGAAACUCUGAUGCAGCGAUGCCGCGUGAGUGAAGAAGGCCCUUGGGUUGUAAAGCUCUUUCGUCGGGGAAGAAAAUGACUGUACCCGAAUAAGAAGGUCCGGCUAACUUCGUGCCAGCAGCCGCGGUAAUACGAAGGGACCUAGCGUAGUUCGGAAUUACUGGGCUUAAAGAGUUCGUAGGUGGUUGAAGAAGUUGGUGGUGAAAUCCCAGAGCUUAACUCUGGAACUGCCAUCAAAACUUUUCAGCUAGAGUAUGAUAGAGGAAAGCAGAAUUUCUAGUGUAGAGGUGAAAUUCGUA
This 619-nucleotide ribosomal RNA is filed under the name uncultured Alphaproteobacteria bacterium. Its description in RNAcentral is "bacterial SSU rRNA". It matches the Rfam family "Bacterial small subunit ribosomal RNA", at positions 28 to 692 of the family's 1533-position model. Lineage: Bacteria; Pseudomonadati; Pseudomonadota; Alphaproteobacteria. The record is from RNAcentral.